GCACGCUCCGGCGCUAAAGACAUCAUUAAAAAGCUCCUCCAGAGAGAUCCUGCCAAGCGCUUAGGAGUCCACGGGAACAUCCGAGGCCAUCAUUUCUUCCAGCAUAUUGACUGGGUCUCAGUGGAAGCCCUUCGGAUGCCCCCACCACACAUCCCUGUACCAUCUACACCUCAACGCUGUGCCAGGCGAUUCAACCUGGACACAAUGAAGGCAGCAGCGGCCAAGAAGGGACCUUUACCAUCUAAACAUCAGGCCAUUUUCAGAGGGUUUUCAUUUGUCACCCGGUAAACCCUCCACCCGCUCUAAUGUCAUCAGAGCAAUAUG
Long non-coding RNA from Bufo bufo (common toad), 324 nucleotides. RefSeq lists it as uncharacterized. NCBI's taxonomy places the organism in Eukaryota, Metazoa, Chordata, Amphibia, Anura, Bufonidae. The record is from RefSeq and is a predicted model, not a curated record. The transcript is spliced from 3 exons.